GUACUUACCAGCAGGGGUACCAUGGUCAUGAAGUGGGGUUUCCCAGGGUGAGGCUUAUCCAUUGCACUCCAGAUGUAGUGAACCUCGAUGUCCCCAAAUGCGGGGACCCUGACUGCAUAAUCUGUAGUAGUGGGGGACUGCGUUCACACUCUACAU
RNAcentral lists this small nuclear RNA (156 nucleotides) under Dipodomys ordii (Ord's kangaroo rat). Its description in RNAcentral is "U1 spliceosomal RNA (ENSDORG00000023148.1)". It matches the Rfam family "U1 spliceosomal RNA". From Rfam's summary of the family: U1 is a small nuclear RNA (snRNA) component of the spliceosome (involved in pre-mRNA splicing). Its 5' end forms complementary base pairs with the 5' splice junction, thus defining the 5' donor site of an intron. Lineage: Eukaryota; Metazoa; Chordata; Mammalia; Rodentia; Heteromyidae. The record is from RNAcentral.